This 420-nucleotide ribosomal RNA is filed under the name bacterium. Its description in RNAcentral is "partial 16S ribosomal RNA". It matches the Rfam family "Bacterial small subunit ribosomal RNA", at positions 355 to 776 of the family's 1533-position model. The record is from RNAcentral.
UGGGGGAUAUUGCACAAUGGGCGAAAGCCUGAUGCAGCGACGCCGCGUGGGGGAUGAAGGCUUUCGGGUUGUAAACCUCUUACGCUAUCGAACAAGGCCCGCUUAGGGUGGGUUGAGGGUAGGUGGAGAAGAAGCGCCGGCUAACUACGUGCCAGCAGCCGCGGUAAUACGUAGGGCGCGAGCGUUGUCCGGAAUUAUUGGGCGUAAAGGGCUUGUAGGCGGCUUGUUGCGCCUGCUGUGAAAACGCGGGGCUUAACUUCGCGCGUGCAGUGGGUACGGGCAGGCUUGAGUGUGGUAGGGGUGACUGGAAUUCCAGGUGUAGCGGUGGAAUGCGCAGAUAUCUGGAGGAACACCGAUGGCGAAGGCAGGUCACUGGGCCAUUACUGACGCUGAGGAGCGAAAGCAUGGGUAGCGAACAGG